GAUGAACGCUAGCGGCAGGCCUAACACAUGCAAGUCGAGGGAGGAGCUUUCGGGCUUCGACCGGCGUACGGGUGCGUAACGCGUAUACAAUCUGCCUUUCACAUAGGGAUAGCCCGAAGAAAUUUGGAUUAAUACCUAAUGGUAUAUAGGAGUGGCAUCACAUUUAUAUUAAAGCUGAGGCGGUGAAAGAUGAGUAUGCGUUCUAUUAGCUAGUUGGAGAGGUAACGGCUCCCCAAGGCGACGAUAGAUAGGGGUUCUGAGAGGGAUAUCCCCCACACUGGUACUGGGAUACGGACCAGACUCCUACGGGAGGCAGCAGUGAGGAAUAUUGGACAAUGGUCGGAAGACUGAUCCAGCCAUGCCGCGUGCAGGAAGACGGCCUUAUGGGUUGUAAACUGCUUUUGCAGGGGAAGAAUAAGGACUACGAGUAGUUUGAUGACGGUACUCUGCGAAUAAGCAUCGGCUAACUCCGUG
This 474-nucleotide ribosomal RNA is filed under the name uncultured bacterium. Its description in RNAcentral is "partial 16S ribosomal RNA". It matches the Rfam family "Bacterial small subunit ribosomal RNA", at positions 28 to 507 of the family's 1533-position model. The record is from RNAcentral.